This 253-nucleotide ribosomal RNA is filed under the name uncultured bacterium. RNAcentral's name for it is "partial 16S ribosomal RNA". It matches the Rfam family "Bacterial small subunit ribosomal RNA", at positions 524 to 776 of the family's 1533-position model. The record is from RNAcentral.
UACGUAGGGGGCAAGCGUUGUCCGGAUUUAUUGGGCGUAAAGAGCGUGUAGGCGGCUUUGCAAGUCCGUUGUGAAAACUCGAGGCUCAACCUCGAGACGCCGGUGGAAACUGCAAAGCUAGAGUCCGGAAGAGGAGAGUGGAAUUCCUGGUGUAGCGGUGAAAUGCGCAGAUAUCAGGAAGAACACCCGUGGCGAAGGCGGCUCUCUGGGCCGGUACUGACGCUGAGACGCGAAAGCGUGGGGAGCAAACAGG